This 388-nucleotide ribosomal RNA is filed under the name Ovis aries (sheep). RNAcentral's name for it is "partial 12S ribosomal RNA". It matches the Rfam family "Bacterial small subunit ribosomal RNA", at positions 798 to 1384 of the family's 1533-position model. Lineage: Eukaryota; Metazoa; Chordata; Mammalia; Artiodactyla; Bovidae. The record is from RNAcentral.
AGCCCUAAACACAAAUAAUUAUAAAAACAAAAUUAUUCGCCAGAGUACUACCGGCAACAGCCCGAAACUCAAAGGACUUGGCGGUGCUUUAUACCCUUCUAGAGGAGCCUGUUCUAUAAUCGAUAAACCCCGAUAAACCUCACCAAUCCUUGCUAAUACAGUCUGAUAUACCCGUCUUCAGCAAACCCUAAAAAUGGACAAAAGUAGGCUCGGUGGUAACACAUAAAGACGUUAGGUCAAGGUGUAACCUAUGGAGUGGGAAGAGGUGGGGUACAUUUUCUACCCAAGAAAAUUUAAUACGAAAGCCAUUAUGAAAUUAAUAGCCAAAGGAGGAUUUAGCAGUAAACUAAGAAUAGAGUGCUUAGUUGAAUCAGGCCAUGAAGCACGC